GACGAACGCUGGCGGCGUGCUUAACACAUGCAAGUCGAACGAAGUGGCGAACGGGUGAGUAACGCGUAAUCAACCUGCCCUUCAGAGGGGGACAACAGUUGGAAACGACUGCUAAUACCGCAUACUGAAGGAGGGGAAUGAGUCGGAUUAGCUAGUGGGAGGGGUAACGGCGCACCAAGGCGAUGAUCAGUAGCCGGUCUGCGAGGAUGAACGGCCCCGUGGGGACUGUGACACUGCCCAGACUCCUACGGGAGUCAGCGGUGGGGAAUCUGCCGCGAUGGACGAAAGUCUGACGGAGCAAGGCCGCGUGAGUGAUGACGGCCUUCGGGUUGUAAAGCUCUGUUAAUCGGGACGCGGUACCGGAAUAGAAAGCCACGGCUAACUACGUGCCAGCCGCCGCGGUAAUUC
This 408-nucleotide ribosomal RNA is filed under the name uncultured bacterium. RNAcentral describes it as "partial 16S ribosomal RNA". It matches the Rfam family "Bacterial small subunit ribosomal RNA", at positions 28 to 526 of the family's 1533-position model. The record is from RNAcentral.